AGUGAACGCUGGCGGUAGGCCUAACACAUGCAAGUCGAACGGCAGCACAGUAAGAGCUUGCUCUUACGGGUGGCGAGUGGCGGACGGGUGAGGAAUACAUCGGAAUCUACUUUUUCGUGGGGGAUAACGUAGGGAAACUUACGCUAAUACCGCAUACGACCUACGGGUGAAAGCAGGGGAUCUUCGGACCUUUCGCUAUUGAAUUCGCCGAUGUCGGAUUAGCUAGUUGGCGGGGUAAAGGCCCACCAAGGCGACGAUCCGUAGCUGGUCUGAGAGGAUGAUCAGGCACACUGGAACUGAGACACGGUCCAGACUCCUACGGGAGGCAGCAGUGGGGAAUAUUGGACAAUGGGCGCAAGCCUGAUCCAGCCAUACCGCGUGGGUGAAGAAGGCCUUCGGGUUGUAAAGCCCUUUUGUUGGGAAAGAAAAGCAGCAGGUUAAUACCCCGCUGUUCUGACGGUACCCAAAGAAUAAGCACCGGCUAACUUCGUG
RNAcentral lists this ribosomal RNA (492 nucleotides) under uncultured bacterium. RNAcentral's name for it is "partial 16S ribosomal RNA". It matches the Rfam family "Bacterial small subunit ribosomal RNA", at positions 29 to 507 of the family's 1533-position model. The record is from RNAcentral.